Molecule: ribosomal RNA, 253 nt
Filed under: uncultured bacterium
Lineage: Bacteria
Description: partial 16S ribosomal RNA
Rfam family: Bacterial small subunit ribosomal RNA
Source: RNAcentral
UACGUAGGGCCCGAGCGUUAUCCGGUAUUAUUGGGCGUAAAGAGUACGUAGGCGGUUUUGUAAGACAAUGGUUAAAUCUCCGGGCUCAACCCGGAAACCGCCGUUGUGACUGCGAGACUAGUCGAUAGCAGGGGCAAGCGGAAUUCUCGGUGUAGGGGUGAAAUCCGUUGAGAUCGAGAAGAACACCAAUGGCGAAGGCAGCUUGCUAGGCUAUAAGGGACGCUGAGGUACGAAAGCGUGGGGAGCGAACGGG